This 120-nucleotide ribosomal RNA is filed under the name Danio rerio (zebrafish). Lineage: Eukaryota; Metazoa; Chordata; Actinopteri; Cypriniformes; Danionidae. The record is from RNAcentral.
CCCCCCAGCUAGCUCUCUGCAACUCUCACAUGGUCGCCCACUGAAGCUAAGCAGGGCUGUGCCUGGUCAGUACCUGGAUGGGAGACCACAUAAGAAAGUUACUGUAGGUUGCUGCCGGAA